CUCACACUUUCUACCACACUGUUAGUUAGCUGUGACUGUUUUUGACAGACAGUUUGUCAUUGAAUAUCGCUGUCCAAUCAGCAUCAAGUCGUGUUCCGUGGAGUCCCGCCUCUUUUGGUGGGAUUUCAGUCUGGUUGUAAAUCGCCCAGAUCUCUCUCAUAGACUUUCAUGUAAAGGCAGUUUUUUUCGAGCUGCGGCCACUGCAAUGCAAUCUCUAUGGCUUCCGGGAGGGCUCGCACUUAUGUGUUUACGUCAUGCGCCCAGCAGCAGAACUACGCUUCUGCCACCUGAAAACAACUCGGCAGUCCUCCAGCUUGUUGCUCUCACUACGACCAGCUGCUGUUUUGAAACGUACGUUCAGGCUGAAAAUUGGACCGUGGUGUUGUGUUGGGAGAUGCAGUUUACCAGCGAAACCGAAGAAGAAAGAGGAGGUGGUCACCACUGGCAUCUUGUCAGAGGAGGGUAAAAAGAACAGACUUAGACCAUUGAACUGAUCACCUUAGCCAUCAUCGCAACAAUUGCCCCCCCUGAGAGAUUUGGCAGGAGCCGCCACUGAUGUAGAAGCAUGCAAAUGCUUCAUAACUAACUAGCAGAAGCUUUGCAGAUGACAGAAGAGGACUUGCAGAGCACGACAACAGCCGAUAGUCCAGUGAAAGGCCAGUUAACCUGAAGUGGUCUUUCUCAUAUCUGAUAUAUGUUAUCUUGGUGUAAUGUGGACCAGAACCUAACUCUUUGGGGAGCUCAUAUUGUUUUGGCUACAAUUGAUGUCAAUCUUAAUGGGCAGCAGUCCUCAAGGCACUUUGCAUCUACCUUGGUGAGGAUGAUGGACAUCUCAUUCGGGAUUAUAAGG
Molecule: long non-coding RNA, 850 nt
Organism: Micropterus dolomieu (smallmouth bass)
Lineage: Eukaryota; Metazoa; Chordata; Actinopteri; Centrarchiformes; Centrarchidae
Exons: 5
Source: RefSeq, a predicted model, not a curated record